Molecule: ribosomal RNA, 314 nt
Filed under: uncultured eukaryote
Lineage: Eukaryota
Description: partial 18S ribosomal RNA
Rfam family: Eukaryotic small subunit ribosomal RNA
Source: RNAcentral
CCCUUAGAUGUUCUGGGCUGCACGCGCGCUACACUGACACUAUCAACGAGUGCUCCUGGUUUGGAAGGAUCGGGUAAUCUUUUGAAAUGGUGUCGUGAUGGGGAUAGAUCAUUGCAAUUAUUGAUCUUGAACGAGGAAUUCCUAGUAAAUGUGAGUCAUCAGCUCACGUUGAUUACGUCCCUGCCCUUUGUACACACCGCCCGUCGCUCCUACCGAUUGAGUGAACCGAUGAGUAGUCCGGAUUGCGAUCGACCUCGGUUAAUCGCGAGAAGUUCCGCAAAUCACUUCACUUAGAGGAAGGAGAAGUCGUAACA